AGCGAACGCUGGCGGCAGGCUUAACACAUGCAAGUCGAGCGGGCGUAGCAAUACGUCAGCGGCAGACGGGUGAGUAACGCGUGGGAACGUACCUUUUGGUUCGGAACAACACAGGGAAACUUGUGCUAAUACCGGAUAAGCCCUUACGGGGAAAGAUUUAUCGCCGAAAGAUCGGCCCGCGUCUGAUUAGCUAGUUGGUGAGGUAACGGCUCACCAAGGCGACGAUCAGUAGCUGGUCUGAGAGGAUGAUCAGCCACAUUGGGACUGAGACACGGCCCAAACUCCUACGGGAGGCAGCAGUGGGGAAUAUUGGACAAUGGGGGCAACCCUGAUCCAGCCAUGCCGCGUGAGUGAUGAAGGCCCUAGGGUUGUAAAGCUCUUUUGUGCGGGAAGAUAAUGACGGUACCGCAAGAAUAAGCCCCGGCUAACUUCGUGCCAGCAGCCGCGGUAAGGCACGACUGU
Molecule: ribosomal RNA, 462 nt
Filed under: uncultured bacterium
Lineage: Bacteria
Description: bacterial SSU rRNA
Rfam family: Bacterial small subunit ribosomal RNA
Source: RNAcentral